Molecule: small nuclear RNA, 133 nt
Organism: Engraulis encrasicolus (European anchovy)
Lineage: Eukaryota; Metazoa; Chordata; Actinopteri; Clupeiformes; Engraulidae
Product: U4atac minor spliceosomal RNA
Exons: 1
Source: RefSeq, a predicted model, not a curated record
ACCGUCCUUGUCUUGGGGUGGCUUGGGCUAUUCAAUGAACGUCUAGUGAGAAUAUCCCUGCUAACACCAGACCAACACAUUUCGCAUCACCUGAACCCCUUGGGGAUCAGGCUAUGGUGCAAUUUUUGGAAAC